Molecule: long non-coding RNA, 204 nt
Organism: Brienomyrus brachyistius
Lineage: Eukaryota; Metazoa; Chordata; Actinopteri; Osteoglossiformes; Mormyridae
Exons: 3
Source: RefSeq, a predicted model, not a curated record
GGCAGGUGAAGUGAUCGGAGAAGUAGGUGAGGUCAGAGAGGGUGGGAAUGCCCACCGCCACGUACUUCCCGUUGGAUUUUCGGACAGAGAAGCUGGCAGGAUUCAGGUGCAGGUAGACGUCAGAGUUGUAGUCCUUCCGGAUGCAGCGGCCGUUACCCUGGCAGAGUGACUCGCUGCAGAGCCUGGAAGCUGCCGUCACAUUGG